RNAcentral lists this long non-coding RNA (408 nucleotides) under Pelobates cultripes (western spadefoot toad). The record is from RNAcentral. Lineage: Eukaryota; Metazoa; Chordata; Amphibia; Anura; Pelobatidae.
CCCAAAACAUGCAAUAACCCCAUAAAAAGUAUAUCCUUGGAACCGGGGGAUCUGGGUGAACCACAUAUCCAAAAUUCACCCAGAUCCGUUCAGUACUUUGGAAAAUACAGUUUAAUGCAGAUUCUGCAGAACAUAUACAGGCUAAAUGAAAAACAAUCACUGUAUAAUGUGUCCCCUGCUGUAUAGUCCAAAACCACUGCACGAUGUCUCUGUGCAACAAAUACUGGCGAGAUGGCACCGUGUUGAAAAGUCCAAACAGUGUCUGUGAGUUAAAAUGGCCGCCAUCCAUUGUUCUCACCAUGUGCUUCUGAUACAGGAAAUGGUGGCCACCCAGUAACUCCACAGUAUGUCCCCAGAUGGUUCUUAAAGGGCCAGCAGCAGCACAACACAAAUCCAUUAUGCCCAAAU